Molecule: ribosomal RNA, 391 nt
Filed under: uncultured bacterium
Lineage: Bacteria
Description: bacterial SSU rRNA
Rfam family: Bacterial small subunit ribosomal RNA
Source: RNAcentral
GAUGAACGCUAGCGGCAGGCCUAAUACAUGCAAGUCGAACGGAUAUAUGUUUUUCGGAAUAUAUAUUAGUGGCGCACGGGUGAGUAACACGUACAUAACUUGCCCUCAAGCGGGGGAUAGCCUUGGGAAACUGAGAGUAAUACCCCAUAGAAUUAUUGGACGGCAUCGUUUGAUAAUUAAAACUACGGUGUUUGGGGAUAGAUGUGCGUCUGAUUAGCUAGUUGGUGAGGUAACUGCUCACCAAGGCGACGAUCAGUAGGGGGCGUGAGAGCGUGGCCCCCCACACGGGUACGUGAGACACGGACCCGACUCCUACGGGAGGCAGCAGUAAGGAAUAUUGGUCAAUGGAGGGAACUCUGAACCAGCCAUGCCGCGUGAAGGAUGACGGCCC